Molecule: ribosomal RNA, 470 nt
Filed under: uncultured bacterium
Lineage: Bacteria
Description: bacterial SSU rRNA
Rfam family: Bacterial small subunit ribosomal RNA
Source: RNAcentral
ACUCCUACGGGAGGCAGCAGUGGGGAAUAUUGCACAAUGGGCGCAAGCCUGAUGCAGCCAUGCCGCGUGUAUGAAGAAGGCCUUCGGGUUGUAAAGUACUUUCAGCAGUGAGGAAGGUGGAUAUGUUAAUAGCAUAUUCAUUUGACGUUAGCUGCAGAAGAAGCACCGGCUAACUCCGUGCCAGCAGCCGCGGUAAUACGGAGGGUGCGAGCGUUAAUCGGAAUUACUGGGCGUAAAGCGCAUGCAGGUGGUUUGUUAAGUCAGAUGUGAAAGCCCGGGGCUCAACCUCGGAAUUGCAUUUGAAACUGGCAAACUAGAGUACUGUAGAGGGGGGUAGAAUUUCAGGUGUAGCGGUGAAAUGCGUAGAGAUCUGAAGGAAUACCGGUGGCGAAGGCGGCCCCCUGGACAGAUACUGACACUCAGAUGCGAAAGCGUGGGGAGCAAACAGGAUUAGAUACCCUGGGAGCUCU